AUUGCGCGUCAACUUGUGAACUGCAGGACACAUGAACAUCGACAUUUCGAACGCACAUUGCGGUCCUCGGAUACUGU
Molecule: ribosomal RNA, 77 nt
Filed under: Timarcha erosa vermiculata
Lineage: Eukaryota; Metazoa; Arthropoda; Insecta; Coleoptera; Chrysomelidae
Description: partial 5.8S ribosomal RNA
Source: RNAcentral